UUUCACCUAGCUUACGUUAUAAAGCAUCAGUUUGAAGAGCUGAGGAAAUGCGAUGUUGACA
Molecule: transfer RNA, 61 nt
Filed under: Paragonimus westermani
Lineage: Eukaryota; Metazoa; Platyhelminthes; Trematoda; Plagiorchiida; Troglotrematidae
Description: tRNA-Phe
Source: RNAcentral